GACAGUUCAAAUGGCUUAGUGGUUAGAGCGUCCGCCUCAGAUGCGGGAGGUCGUUGGUUCAAUCCUCGGUCGAGUCA
Molecule: non-coding RNA, 77 nt
Organism: Potamilus streckersoni
Lineage: Eukaryota; Metazoa; Mollusca; Bivalvia; Unionida; Unionidae
Source: the annotation of a GenBank genome assembly